CAAAAAAACAGCAGAACUUAAUGCAAAAGUUUUCGGUUUUAUUUUCCCGCAUUAAGUUAAUUGCCAGGCAGUGCCGAGAACCAGGCCAUAUAGCACAAAGUACCCAAUAGUAUCCCAAUUCGAACAGUAACCCACUCAGAUAUGAGUGAUACCGAUGCGGUGAGUUUUCAAGUACCCAUUCCGAGUAUAUAUAUUUUGGAGCUGCACUUAGAGCACACACAAAUUCGCCCAUGCACCAAUGAUUUAUGAGCAUAAUUUGCAUAAGGAAUGAUCCAGGUUAAUGGAUGUAUUAUUCCGCCGACCUUGCACAUACAUCAUUGUCAGUGGAAGGAAAGAACCCUUUGCGAAGAACCAACCAAAUCAAACAGCGAUUUCUUGUGGCCCGUCGAUUUUGGGCCUUAGAACUGCCAAAAACUUUUGUUGAAUCAAUAAGCCACAAAAACAAUUUGGGUCAUGUUACAGCUGGCAACCGAAUUUCAUGACAAAAUUCCCUAAUGGUAACCAAAGACCAACCAAAUACCCAACCGAAUAUCCUCGUAUGUACAUAUAAACCCAAGUAGCUGAGAAUACCAAAACAAUAAAAUGUAAACAAAUGCAGAAAGAGCCAUCAAAUUUGAAAGCACCCACUCAAUGUGAACUAUAUUGAUACGUCUGCUCCGCCGAUACACCGAUACACGAGCUUUAGCUUCACCAUUGCCACUUGGCACAUGGCACAUGGCACUUGGCACCCCCACAGUUUUGCAGACGUAAAAGUAAGCCCACAACGAUAUAUGGCCAUACAUAUGCAAAUGAUAUGGGCCAGUUUACCGGGGCAGGAGCAUGCGGGUAUAUAUCGAUGGCAUUGGCCACCAAAAAGCGACUCCGCCACGUAUUGGGUUACCCGACACUUGCACAUUUCUGCACCGACACCGCAGCCGAGAAGUUCUAGUCCUUCGCUAGGAUGUAUAGCACGGCAAAGGAUCGCUCCAGCUCCAGCCAGGAGGUUUCUCCACAGGAUUACCCAGUGCAGCAGCAGCGCGCUCAGUCCAAGUCCGAGUACGGCGUGGAUUCCGAAUCUGUAGAUCGUCCUUCGCAACCCGCCCAGGACUAUGUGCCUUCCAAGUCCACCGAUUCAUCUGUGGAACCAAAGAAAGAACCGCUAAGAACUCAGUUAAACACAGGCUAUUCCAAUAGCAACACCACUUUGGAUAGCUCAGAUUCAGUGUCCAAACAGCAGCUACGAUCUCAGCCGAUUCCAGAGUACCAGAGCAAUGCAUAUGAGGCACCUAGGGAUGAGCGCAGCCAACUGCAGCCACAGAGAUCCCAGCCAGCUGCCGAUUACUCCGUAUACGAACGGCAGCAACGUCCGCCGCCGAGCACAAUAGACUACACCACCGGCUAUAAUGCACCACCACCACCAGCACCCAAAGAUCGCACCACCCUGUCACGCAGCAACUCGCGACCCACCCUCUCACUCAAUCCCAAGCUCCAAACUCUACCCAAUCCCGAGUAUGUGCGACCACCACCACAGAACUUUGUCUUGCCACCGCAGAUGCGUGCCGCCGUGGGGCCACCACAGCCGCGUCCACCGUUCGCCGGCGCCAGGCCGAUGGUCGGAAUGGGACCACGUCCACCCAUGCCACCGAACAUGGCGGCCAGGCCACCGCCGCUGCGCACCACAGACAGCAAGAGCAAUCUGCUGAUGGGUCCACCGAUGCGGCCGGGCAUGCCACCGCAACUCAAUAUGCAGCAGGCUCGCCUGCCCAAUGCCGGCGGACAGCUGAGUCCGCCGGGCCAAGGACCACCAAGGCCACCAGGCGGAUUUCCCUGGAAUCCAGCCGGGGCACCGGGCAUGCCGCCAGGAGCACCUGGCAUGCCGCCUGGGGCACGACCUCCGCAGAAUAUGACGCGACCGCCGCCACCCACUUUUGCACGCCCGCCGCCGGGUCAGCCGCUGCAGGCACCCUUCAAUCGAGCGCCCUUCAACCAGCCGCCCAUGCAACCGCAACCGCAACAACAGCAGCAACCACAACCACCACAGCAGCUGCAAAUGCAGCAGCAACAGCAACAACAGCACAUGCAACAGCAGCAGCAGCAACUACGCCCACUUUCGGCAGCCAGUGCACACAACAACAACGAUGACGACGACGACGUGGUCAUGGGUCCGGCGGUGACCCCGCUCAAGAGCUUCAAUCCCAGGCCCGAUCCCAUGGGCGAGCCCCUCCUGGAGGACAUGGAGCCGCCCUUCGAGACGAGCUCCCCAGCCGGAGAAUCCAAAAAGGGGCUCGGCUUUAAGGGUGACAAUGACAGCGGCGUGGAUGAGUCCACUCAGGAGAAGGAUCGCAACGGACCCAACUCGCCCAGUUCGCCCGUGAAAACGCCCACAUCGACCUCAUCGAAGCCGGACAAGUCGGGCACGUCGCGACCACCGAGUGCCACGCCCUCGAACAAAUCAGCACCCAAGUCGCGCAGCGCCUCCAAGAAUCGCUUGCUCCUCAAGACCCCCGAACCCGAGCCAGUCAAGAAAGUUCCAAUGAACAAGGUACAAGUGGGACAUGCGCCUUCGCCCAAUCUGAAGGCGGUGCGCUCCAAGAUCGGAUCCCUGGACAAUGCCACCUAUAAGCCGGGUGGUGGCCACGUGAAAAUCGAGUCCAAGAAGAUCGACAUCAAGGCGGCACCGCGCAUCGAGGCCAAGAACGACAAGUACAUGCCAAAGGGCGGCGAAAAGAAGAUAGUUACAACAAAGUUGCAGUGGAACGCCAAGUCCAAAAUCGGUUCGCUGGAGAAUGCCGCCCACAAGCCGGGAGGCGGGGACAAGAAGAUCGAGACCCUGAAGAUGGACUUCAAGGACAAGGCCAAGCCGAAGGUCGGCUCGACGGCCAAUGUGAAGCAUCAGCCGGGUGGCGGAGACAUCAAGGAUAACAACCCCAAGGAUAUCCAAACGCAAAAACUAGAAAUUAAGGCACAAAGCAAAGUUGGCUCUUUGGAUAAUGUAAAGCACAAGCCCGGUGGCGGUGAGAAGAAGAUUUUCGAUGAUAAGGAUUAUUUGAAAAAUGUUGAACACUCUGUUGCACUGACAACACCACCAACACAGGAAUAUAUAUACAAUUUUUAUUAGGCUAGUCAUACGAAACUAAGUGCAUUAAAUUCGAAAUUCGUACCGAGUUACGUCCAUUAGAGUUAUUUAUCGCCUAUUGCUACUUAUAACUACCACAUCAUAUACUCGAUGCAAUCCGAAUGCAAUGCGGUUUUAAACAAUAUAUAGAUACAUUCGAUUUGAUCACGCAAAUCCCAGUCCACUACCAUCCAUGACGGCUUCUGGCGCUGAUGAAAAUUUAAAUCAACAAAGCUAAAUGCCGAAAUGCAUGUCAAGCUGAAUCUGAAAGUGUAUCCGAAUCCGAAUCCGAAUGUGAAUCUAAAUCUGACUCCUUCUUUGCAAGCUAAGAUCGAAACGAAAGUGAAAUGAACACACUAAGCAAGCAGCUAAUUUGAAAUGUACUAUCUAAGCAAAAUCCACACAAAGCAAAACGAGAGUUAUGCGAUAAUUCCCACACACCCUCACAUGCCAGUAAAUGCGAUCAGAUCAUCGAUCAGAUCAAUUCGAUAGAGGUGCAAGCACGCAAUGAGAUGCAGAUACUCGUAUGUACAUCUACACAAGCAACACCACCAUCACCAUCCCACAUAGAAGCGGUAUUUGGUAUACAAUCGAAAGUAUAUUUGACUAGUUGAGCAAUGCACUCUUUAUCAUCAGAUACCAGACAUGAGUUAUAUAUCUCAAUGUAUUACCAGAACUUCAUAUAUACAUACAAAUAUAUAUAUAUACAUAUAUACAUAAAAGUAUCUAAAUAUUUAAGCGAAUUAUACAAGAAUCGUACGAGUAAACAGUAUGCUUAGUUGAAAAUGUUACCACUUGACGUCUAAAUGUUAAACGACUAAGAUAAUGCAGCCAUUUAGAUACUUUUGCGACCAGUGACCAGUGACAAGAAAAACCAAAACCAAACCGAACAGAACCGAUACAGAUACAGAACAGAUAAAACCACGUAUAAGCGUACUUUUACUAUUAAUUUGUAUCUUAUUAGUCAAGCGCAUCAUUCUCACGAUUUAUUUACACCCUGUUACAAAAUGUAAGAACAAUGGCAAAAUUUAAGCAAAUAAACAAACAAAAAAAACGUU
Molecule: unclassified non-coding RNA, 4152 nt
Filed under: Drosophila yakuba
Lineage: Eukaryota; Metazoa; Arthropoda; Insecta; Diptera; Drosophilidae
Description: GE10550
Source: RNAcentral